RNAcentral lists this ribosomal RNA (250 nucleotides) under uncultured bacterium. RNAcentral's name for it is "partial 16S ribosomal RNA". It matches the Rfam family "Bacterial small subunit ribosomal RNA", at positions 779 to 1026 of the family's 1533-position model. The record is from RNAcentral.
UAGAUACCCUGGUAGUCCACGCUGUAAACGAUGAGAACUAGGUGUCGUGGGUGUUGACCCCCGCGGUGCCGUAGCUAACGCAUUAAGUUCUCCGCCUGGGAAGUACGGUCGCAAGAUUAAAACUCAAAGGAAUUGACGGGGGCCCGCACAAGCGGUGGAGCAUGUGGUUUAAUUCGACGCAACGCGCAGAACCUUACCCAGACUUGACAUCCUGGAAAGCUGGCCCAAAAGUCGGCGUGCCCGCAAGGGA